GGAGUGGCAAGUUGGGUUGGUUCAAGCCGGCUUGUCUUAUUUUCUUUUUUUUUUUUGUUGGUAGAAAGAUAUAGAAGCCGACGGCCCCGACGAAGCGACUACGAAAGCUCUGGAUCGCUCGGCUGGCUCGAAGCUGACCGAGCCCAACGAUCGUACAGAAACUUUAAUAAAUAUAAUUCUGGCUAUUCUGACUAGACUGUUGUUGCUGUUCUUGCCCCCCGUGAUUAAUAAUAUUGCUGCGGAGCAGUCGUCGUCUUGGCAAAAUUGUUAACACUUCAGCUCGGAUCGGAUCGGAUCGUAUCGUAUCGGAUCGGUUGGAUCGUUCGGAUUGGCUUGAAUCGGCUUGGAUCGCUUUCGAUCGCCGCGAAUCGGGGGCAUGCGCAUAAGAUCGACGCUCUAGUACCGCCGGUCUUAUCAGACUAGAUUAAGCGGAUUUCACUCACACGAACGCACAGCACUCCAUAGUAUACCAUAUAAUUCAAAUCGUUUAAUGGCACGUAUAAUAAAACCAUAUCUCUGGGUAUUUGUUUUCGGGGCUGUGUGUGCUUUUGAGCUUUCAUUAAAUAAAUAGUUUUUAUUGCUUAUUUUUUUCACAGUUUAGAUGUAGAUUACCAAAAGUUGGGCACUCCGUUCCGGCGCCUCUUGGGAUGCAUGCAAAAAAGUGUUGAAAAAUAUUCGGAUUUGAAUAAUUAUGUUGGUUCUAACACUUUGAAAAUGUAGAAACAUUGUAAAAUAUGCAAUUAUUUUAUUUCAAAAUAUAAUUUAGCUAGACUAAAGAGAA
Drosophila sechellia is the source of this 781-nucleotide long non-coding RNA. RefSeq lists it as uncharacterized. The transcript has 2 exons. The record is from RefSeq and is a predicted model, not a curated record. NCBI's taxonomy places the organism in Eukaryota, Metazoa, Arthropoda, Insecta, Diptera, Drosophilidae.